CCUACGGGGGGCAGCAGUGAGGAAUAUUGGUCAAUGGACGAGAGUCUGAACCAGCCACGUAGCGUGAAGGAUGACUGCCCUAUGGGUUGUAAACUUCUUUUAUAAAGGAAUAAAACGAGGCACGUGUGCCUUUUUGCAUGUACUUUAUGAAUAAGGAUCGGCUAACUCCGUGCCAGCAGCCGCGGUAAUACGGAGGAUCCGAGCGUUAUCCGGAUUUAUUGGGUUUAAAGGGAGCGUAGAUGGGUUGUUAAGUCAGUUGUGAAAGUUUGCGGGUCAACCGUAAAAUUGCAAUUGAUACUGGCAGUCGUGAGUACAGUUGAGGUAGGCGGAAUUCGUGGUGUAGCGGUGAAAUGCUUAGAUAUCACGAAGAACCCCGAUUGCGAAGGCAGCUUACUAAACUGUGACUGACAUUGAUGCUCGAAAGUGUGGGUAUCAAACAGGAUUAGAUACCCGAGUAGUC
This 460-nucleotide ribosomal RNA is filed under the name uncultured bacterium. RNAcentral's name for it is "partial 16S ribosomal RNA". It matches the Rfam family "Bacterial small subunit ribosomal RNA", at positions 338 to 795 of the family's 1533-position model. The record is from RNAcentral.